RNAcentral lists this ribosomal RNA (873 nucleotides) under Triticum aestivum (bread wheat). Its description in RNAcentral is "partial small subunit ribosomal RNA". The record is from RNAcentral. Lineage: Eukaryota; Viridiplantae; Streptophyta; Magnoliopsida; Poales; Poaceae.
AUGGCCGGAAUUGUCAACAAAGAAUUUCCUGAGUUGGCCCAGACAGGGCUGAACUACCUGUCAUGGUCCUCGGACUGCGAGAUCUUUCUCCAGGGCAAAACCCUCCUGAGGGCGAUCGGUAAGGGGGCCCAGCUGGCCGCCACUGAUCCGAAGUUCGAAACUGAGAAUGCGCAGGCUCUGCACUUUCUCCGUCAUCACCUGUCACCUACUCUGAAAGAUGAGUAUAUGGCUGAGCGCAGUGCUUCUGGCCUUUGGACCGCUCUUAAACAGCGGUUUGAGCGGCUGAAGUACACUGUGAAGCCACGUGCAGAGGCAGAGUGGAUCCGUCUGAGGUUUGCGGACUUCAAGACGUCCUCACGGAACUACCGCCAGGGCAACUACACGAGGUAUUCAGAGUUGAUUGGCGUCCUCCAGGUGGCGGAGGCGCAGGACGAGGUUCUCAAAAAGAACUUUGUCGCGCAACCACUUGGGAGGAGUUCUCGCCAGUAGGUGAACGCUCUCAAAGUCCGCAAGCCUCAACAGAAGAAGAGGGGCCGGAAGGCGGCUAAGCAGAACAAGCCGGGCAAGGGAGGGCAAAGGCCUCAGGACUGCUUCCGUUGUGGCUUGGUGGAGCAUUUCUCCCGCCAGUGCCGCGCACCACAGGAGGUCGUUGAUGCAUAUAAGGCUCGGAAGGCGCGUGAGACGCACCUCGCCUUGGUUCAGGAGGGAGCACCACCGGCGCCCAUGGCGGCACCCGUGAUGAUCGCUACUCCCCCUGCUGCGCCCAUAGAGGCGACCCCAGUGGUGCCCAUCGCAGCAGCUUUGGCGGUCUCUACCGACGCCCACGUCGCCAUGGAGGUUGACCACAUGGUCGCCUUGGCGGCGCCGCACUAG